AAGGAAGCACACUUCGGUCAUAGAUUAAGCCAUGCAAGUGCCAGUUCAGGGAACGAAACUGCGAAUAGCUCAUUAACACGCUCAGAAUCUAUUUGGCAGCAACCUUCAGGUUUAAGAUGGAUAGCAGCAGUAAUUCUGGUGCUAAUACAUGCAAUUGUUUCAUCGGAAGUGAAUUACGAUGAAAAAGUUGACCUCAAAGGGUAAGCCAUUCGAUUGAGCGACCUAUCAUGUUUAUUCCUAGGGUCUUGACCUAGAGAGGCGAUAACGGGUAACGGGCGGUUACCGUCGGACUGCCGGAGAGGGCGCCUGAGAGAUAGCGACUAUAUCUACGGGUAGCAGCAGGCGCGAAACUUACCCACUCGAGACUUUCGGAGGUGGUAAUGACCAGUUUCAAGUUAGCUCCUUACGGGGUUGCUUGAAUAGGACUACACCUCUCCAGUGUAGUGUAAUCUAGCAGAGGGCCAGUCUGGUGCCAGCAGCUGCGGUAAUUCCAGCUCUGCGAGUUUGCUCCCAUAUUGUUGCAGUUAAAACGCCCGGAGUCUGAGUCACAAUUGUAAUGACGGCUAACCCCCGUGUUCACUGCGAACAAAUCAGGACGCUUAGUGUAAGGUUACUUGAAUGACUCAGCGCAGUAUGAAAUAAUUGCCAUGGAGUAGGCAAAAUCAAUGAGAGCCAUCGGGGGUAGAUCUAUUUCAUGGCGAGCGGUGGAAUGCUAUAACCCAUGAGAGAGAAACGAAGGCGAAGGCAUCUACCUAGCGGGUUUCUGUCGAUCCAGGGCGAGAGUAGGGAUAUCCAACCGGAUUAGAGACCCGGGUAGUCCGUACCGUAAACGAUGCCGACAGGGCCUUAUCCUCUACUGAGGGUAGGGUCCGAUGAGAAAUCAUAGUUCUUGGGCUCUGGGGGAACUACGACUGCAAGGUUGAAACUUGAAGGAAUUGACGGAAGGGCACACCAGGGUGGAGCUUGUGGCUUAAUUUGAAUCAACACGGGGAAACUUACCAGGACCAGAUGUCUUAUGUGACUGACAGGCUAACGGUCUUUCAGGAUUUGACUUUUGGUGGUGCAUGGCCGUUGGUGGUGCGUGGGUUGACCUGUCUAGCGUUGAUUCAGAUAACGAGCGAGAUUAUCGCCAAUUGAUAGUUUGCAUUGGUGCGCCAAUGCAAGGUUUCCAAUUGGGACUCCCUGCGUCUAAGCAGGAGGAAGAGGGUAGCAAUAACAGGUCCGUGAUGUCCUUUAGAUGCCCUGGGCUGCACGCGCGCUACAAUGUGAGGAUCAAUGAGAUACGAGCCUCGAAAGGGUAAGUCACUCUCACAAUACCUCACGUACCUGGGAUUGGCGGUUGUAACUACCGACAUGAACCAGGAAUCCCUUGUAAGCGUAUGUCAACAACUUACGUUGAAUACGUCCCUGCCCUUU
This 1416-nucleotide ribosomal RNA is filed under the name Neotermes koshunensis parabasalian symbiont clone Nk3. Its description in RNAcentral is "SSU rRNA". It matches the Rfam family "Eukaryotic small subunit ribosomal RNA", at positions 20 to 1661 of the family's 1831-position model. The record is from RNAcentral. Lineage: Eukaryota; Parabasalia.